CUUGACCUACGGGACGCAGCAGUAGGGAAUCUUCCACAAUGGGCGAAAGCCUGAUGGAGCAACGCCACGUGGGAGAAGAAGGUCUUCGGAUCGUAAAACCCUGUUGUUAGAGAAGAAAGUGCGUGAGAGUAACUGUUCACGUUUCGACGGUAUCUAACCAGACAGCCACGGCUAACUACGUGCCAGCAGCCGCGGUAAUACGUAGGUGGCAAGCGUUAUCCGGAUUUAUUGGGCGUAAAGGGAACGCAGGCGGUCUUUUAAGUCUGAUGUGAAAGGCUUCGGCUUAACCGGAGUAGUGCAU
This 301-nucleotide ribosomal RNA is filed under the name uncultured bacterium. Its description in RNAcentral is "bacterial SSU rRNA". It matches the Rfam family "Bacterial small subunit ribosomal RNA", at positions 333 to 626 of the family's 1533-position model. The record is from RNAcentral.